AUCGUAAAUAACUGUGGAAAUUUUUUGCUACUGUAUGUGAUUUGCACAUGGCAUGAGGAUGAAAAGGAGUUGCGAACUCACUCCCCAUGUGCCACCCCGGUAUCCCCUUCCCAGUUGGCUCUCAGUCACUGUGCGCGGAUGGAUUCGCUUCUCGGAUGCAGAGCUGCGCCUUAAAUGCGAUCCUCAGAUGUUGCUGUGGAUGUUGCUGUUGCUGUUGGUGUUGCUGUUGCUGCGGUUGCUGUUGUUAUCUCUGACGUUGGCAAUCGGUGCCAUUGCACACACAUUUCGCCGACCUAAUCCACUGUGAUUCAGUGGGGAUGGGGAAAUGGUCCGACGACUGGUCGGAUGGCUGGAUGGCUGGCUGUUAAGGCCUCUUUAUAUGCGCACCUUAAAAAACAACAACAAGAUGCUUAAUGCUGUUUUCUGUUUUGUAUUUUUUUGCGUUGCCUCAUGAACGGGGCACACUUAUUGCCACGCAGUCGAAGAUACAGCGAACACACUCACCAGAUACAGAUACAGAUGCAGGGGGCAUAGGCUUGAAACCGGAGUUGGAGCCGCGGACUGGAGUUGAAGUUACAGCUUCAAGCUUGAUCUAAAGUGAGAGAAAAAAAUGUUAAAGAUUUAAAAAAUUAAACAAAAAAAGUAAAG
Long non-coding RNA from Drosophila ananassae, 648 nucleotides. RefSeq lists it as uncharacterized. The transcript has 2 exons. Lineage: Eukaryota; Metazoa; Arthropoda; Insecta; Diptera; Drosophilidae. The record is from RefSeq and is a predicted model, not a curated record.